Molecule: long non-coding RNA, 3912 nt
Filed under: Ovis aries (sheep)
Lineage: Eukaryota; Metazoa; Chordata; Mammalia; Artiodactyla; Bovidae
Description: lncRNA (ENSOARG00000025313.1)
Source: RNAcentral
AUGGAAGAAUGGAGAGGUGUGAGCUCUUGCUCUAGAGCACACGUUUUCGUCCUGGCAAAGGUCAUAGGGCAGGGCUGCUCUGUGGGUUUGUUGAAGUUUGUAAGUUCUAGUGGGUUUGGUGAAGUCGGGCCACUUGUGGCUCUGGGUCGCUGUGGUUCCUGGUGCAGUGUCUCUGCACACAGCCUACCAAUGCCGCUGCCUUGCUUUGCAGUGUUCUGCACAGACCUGCUGUACACAGCCCACCACCACCAUCUUGAAUUGAGGUGCUGUGGGCAGUGCUUCUGCACACGGCCUGCCAGCCAGGCUGAGGUGUCCAGCCACCACUUUCACACUAAGAACUCUGAGGUGCUGACUAUACGUAGCCCUCCGAGAGUGAGUGAAACUAGACCCAGCACAAAGGAGAAAAGCCCUAGGCCACAAAAUAAUGGAACACACAGCUGUUGUGCAAAGAACCUGGCCUUUGGAGCCAAAUGGACCUGGAUUCCAGUCCUGAUUCUGCCCUUAACAGAGUGCUGCAGGUAAUAUACUUGAGGUCUCUGGACCUCAGAAUGUUUGUAUAUAAAAUACGGAUAAAAUCUCUUGGCUGACUGUUAAGGGAAUAGAAAGAAUGUAUGAAAAACUGGGUUUGGAAAGGGAGGGAGAGAACCAAGUGACCAGACAACAGAAGAAAUCAGCCCAAGUUGGAUUGCUGGAGGUUGAGGAGAUGAGUCAAAGGAGUAGGGGCCAUUGCUAAGCAGAGGUGAGGAGAGCAGCUUAGCAUAAGUGUCUGUAGGACAGGAAGGAGUGAUGAAUUUCAAUAUAGCCGUAUUGAGUUUGAGGUUUUGGUUGGACACCAAAAUGGAAGUUAAAGUGUUUAGGGACUUCUCUGAUGGUCCGGUGGUUAAGACUUUGCAGUUCCAGUGCAGGUGGUGUAGGUUAGAUCCCUGGUUGGAACAAAGAUCCCACAUGCCGCAUAGUCAAAAGAAAAAUAAUAAUGUUUGAAAGAUGAGUAGAUUUGGGGUGAUGUGUCUGUUGGUGGCUGUCAUUACAGUGUAAGCAUUCCCUGAAUAGAGAUACUCUCAGAGGAUGCUUUUGAUGGUUAAAGGAAAUAAUUUAAGGAACUUAGCGCAGUGCUUCAAAAAAAGUGUUUAUCAUUGUCAUCAUCAUCACUGUUGUCCUUACUGUCAUCUUACAUUUUCUAGUGCAGUUUCAAUUUCACAACAUAUUUCUCUAAGGGCAGUCCUUUAAAUGAAUAAAUAAAUUAAUCCAACAUGGAAAAAAUCCUUUGUACAUAUCAAACUACUAAUAGUGGUAACUUUUGGAGUGGAUUGUUGAAAGAAGUCUCAGGUUGGAUUUCCUAGCAGCAGCAGCUGAGAUGAAGGUUUGUGUGCAAGUAAUUGAUGAAGAAUGGGCUCCCAAGAGAAACCAGUCAGGGAGUGGCAGAAGCAAAGCCAGUCAGUGAUGGUUUUAGAUGAAAGCCCAAGCAUGACUUGAUCCUGUGAGACACUCUAGAGCAUCUCUGGAGCCAACUGUUUGGUCUGAAGCCCUGCUUCUUCUAAUUCUUAGCUGGCAAAUCCCAAGCAAGUUACUUAACCUCCCUGUGUCUCGACUUCCUCAUCUGUAGAUUGGGCCUGUUGAUAAUAAUAUCUUACAACUGCUUGCGGGUCGUUAGAGGAACAAAUACGUUAAUAUCUGAAAAAUGGUUAGAACUGCCCUGAUACAUAGUAAGUGCUGAAUUAACUAUUAACAUUAAACCUAGAAAAGCCAUGGAACGAUCUGUUAGCCACAGCACUCAGGAAACCUCUCAAAGGAAAGAGACUGUGCAUGAAGCCUCUUGGGCUGAAGAGCCCCUAAUUGCAAAUGGCCCAGUGCUGGAGCCCAAGGAAAGAAGGUGCAGUUGUGUACCCUGCAGGAGAGUAGAGAUGAAAUGAUUGGAGGGAUCAAGAAGUAUCUACUUGAAGAAAGGAAGGCAAGAAGUAGGGGUGACAGUGAAACCAUGGGUGAAGGUAAAGCCAACUGCAGCUGGGGAGGAUGGACAAAGAAGGAGAAAUGCCUCAGGAGCUUAAAAGGGAGCAGGGCUGGCCUCCCUUCAAAGGUGCCUUUUGCUGGUGCCACAGGGGAAAGGACUUUCCUGGUUCAAGAGAAGGAGGUGCAGGUGCUCAGUGAAGUCUAAUCACUGUGGGGUGGUAAAACACAUGCUGGCCUGGAGGAAGUCCAUCCUGAGCCUCACAUUGUACAGUUGCCCCUCACUGGGCCUCAGUUUCCUCAUCUAUAAAAUGGGAAGGUUGAGUCAAGUGAUCUCUUCCUAGUCAUUUAUUUGGUGAUUGUUAAGGGAUCUGAAAGACAGCAGGCAUAGGUUUCAUUUAUUAUGUGUGUACUCUACAUACCAGGAGCUGGCCAUAGACACCUUACAUACAUGCUCUCAACUUUUAUCUCAUCUCAUACAGCAUUAUGAGGUGGCACAGUUAUUCCCAUUUCACAGCUGAGAAAACUAAGAUUUAAAGAAAUUAAGCAGCCUGCCACAGAUUACACCAUAGGUAGAUGGAAGACUAGAAGUGCUUCUGACCCAGCUCUGUCUGAUCAAAAGCCUGAUUCUGAACGACUUACUCAGAAUUCAGACUCAGUGAAAGGACUGCAUACUCAGGCUGCUGAGGUAGAAUCAGUCUGGUUGUCAGGGUCUCUGAGCUAGAUUCGACCAUACCGCGGCAGGCUGCAGUGGGGAGGCAGCACUGUCCCAUAGCAGUAGGGAGACUGGUUGGACGUUAUCUGCGCAGCCUCUGGGCUUCAUCCAGCCUCUUUCCCCCACUCAUGGCAGCCUCUCUUGACUAUUUCACUUCCUUCCCUUCUCCCCUCAUCUCCUGCGUGGUCCCCACUCUCAGCACCACUCACACAUUUACUCAUACUUUGUCAGCUUCCUCCAGGAAGACUUGCUAACUCUGAGAGCAAGCUAGAUGCCUCUGGCAUUUGCUUUUGCAUCUCCCCAAACAGUAGCACCUACCCUAUAUUAGUAUCAUUCCUCAUUGCUUUCUAAUACUAAUUUAUCCAUCUUUGUAUCCCCAAUAUCCCAACACAGCAUCCAGAAUACAGAGGGCAGAUACCUUACAUAUAUGCGUGUGCAUGCAUACACACACACUCACACACACUCACACACACAGGCCCAUUUACUUAGACAUCCUUAAAGUAUAGGUAUGGAGAAUAUAAAGAAAUGAAAAAGGUAAGGUUCUUGCAAUUAAGAAACUUAUAGGAUAGUAGUGGAUGUUCGGAGAAGGCAAUGGCAACCCACUCCAGUACUCUUGCCUGGAAAAUCCCAUUGGUGGAGGAGCCUGGUGGGCUUCAGUCUAUGGGGUCUCUAACAGUCAGACACGACUGAGCAACUUCACUUUCACUUUUCACUUUCAUGCAUUGGAGAAGGAAAUGGAAACCCAUUCCAGUGUUCUUGCCUGGAGAAUCCCAGGGACGGGGGAGCCUGGUGGGCUGCCAUCUAUGGGGUCGCACAGCGUCGGACACGACUGAAGCGACUUAGCAGUAGCAGCAGUGGAUGUUAGUAUAUAAGCUUCAUUUCCAUGUAGUUGAAGUAAAUACUAUGAGCUAGGAACUUGAUAUUAUGAACAAAAGAGGACUAAUUCAGCUCUCCAUCACCUCAGAUAAACACUGGGGAGAAGGCAUGGGGAAGUCUUCCAAAAGAGCAGAGACCAUUGGAUAAUAGAGUCUUUAGCCAAGGGACUAAUAGGAAUUUUAAAAAGAAAAUAAAUUGACACAGCUGUUUGGAGAGUAAUUUGGUAGAAUUUAUUAAAAUGUGUAUAUCCCUUCACCUAGCAAUUCUGUUGCUGGAAAUUUUUUCCUUAAAUAUCAGGUGUGUACGUAAAGAUACUGUUUCACUUGUGAUGAAAAUGAAACUAAUUGUUCAGAAAGGGGAAAUCAUUCACUAAACUA